This 1219-nucleotide ribosomal RNA is filed under the name metagenome. RNAcentral's name for it is "bacterial LSU rRNA". It matches the Rfam family "Bacterial large subunit ribosomal RNA", at positions 1697 to 2925 of the family's 2925-position model. The record is from RNAcentral.
GCCUCUCUCUAAGGAACUCGGCAAAAUUACCUCGUAACUUCGGAAGAAGAGGUACCCCUUCACGGGGGUUGCAAUAGAUUGACCCUGGCGACUGUUUACCAAAAACACAGGUCUCCGCUAAUUCGUAAGAAAAAGUAUGGGGGCUGACGCCUGCCCAGUGCCGGAAGGUUAAAGAAGUUGGUUAGUCCUUGGACAAAGCUAGCGACUGAAGCCCCGGUGAACGGCGGCCGUAACAAUAACGGUCCUAAGGUAGCGAAAUUCCUUGUCGGGUAAGUUCCGACCCGCACGAAAGGCGUAACGAUCAGGGUACUGUCUCGGAGAGAGGCUCGGCGAAAUAGACAUGUCUGUGAAGAUGCGGACUACCUGCACCUGGACAGAAAGACCCUAUGAAGCUUUACUGUAUCUUGGAAUUGGGUUUGGUCUUUGCAUGCGCAGGAUAGGUGGGAGGCUUUGAAGAUGAUCUUGCGGGGUCGUUGGAGCCACUGGUGAGAUACCACCCUUGCAAUGAUAAAAUCCUAACUUUGAACCGUUAUCCGGUCAAAGAACAGUUUCAGGUGGGCAGUUUGACUGGGGCGGUCGCCUCCUAAAAGGUAACGGAGGCGUGCAAAGGCUCCCUCAGGCUGGUUGGACAUCAGUCGUAGAGUGUAAAGGCAUAAGGGAGCUUGACUGCGAGACCAACAAGUCGAGCAGAGACGAAAGUCGGCCUUAGUGAUCCGGCGCUUCCGAGUGGAAGGGGCGUCGCUCAACGGAUAAAAGUUACUCUAAGGAUAACAGGCUGAUCUCCCCCAAGAGUUCACAUCGACGGGGAGGUUUGGCACCUCGAUGUCGGCUCAUCGCAUCCUGGGGCGGUAGUACGUCCCAAGGGUUGGGCUGUUCGCCCAUGAAAGCGGUACGCGAGCUGGGUUCAGAACGUCGUGAGACAGUUCGGUCCAUAUCCGGUGCAGGCGUUAGAGUAUUGCGAAGACUCCUCCUUAGUACGAGAGGACCGGGGGGAAUGCACCGCUGGUGUACCAGUUAUCGUGCCAACGGUAAACGCUGGGUAGCCAAGUGCAGUUUGGAUAACUGCUGAAAGCAUCUAAGUAGGAAGCCAGCUUCAAGAUGAGUACUCUCACCGCUUCAAGCGGGUAAGAUCACGGCAAGAACAGCCGUUUGAUAGGCAUCAAGUGUAAGUGCAGUAAUGUAUUCAGCUGAGAUGUACUAAUAGAUCGAGGGCUUAUUA